Molecule: ribosomal RNA, 468 nt
Filed under: uncultured bacterium
Lineage: Bacteria
Description: partial 16S ribosomal RNA
Rfam family: Bacterial small subunit ribosomal RNA
Source: RNAcentral
GACGAACGCUGGCGGCGUGCUUAACACAUGCAAGUCGAACGGAAAGGCCCUGCUUUUGUGGGGUGCUCGAGUGGCGAACGGGUGAGUAACACGUGAGUAACCUGCCCUUGACUUUGGGAUAACUUCAGGAAACUGGGGCUAAUACCGGAUAGGAGCUCCUGCUGCAUGGUGGGGGUUGGAAAGUUUCGGCGGUUGGGGAUGGACUCGCGGCUUAUCAGCUUGUUGGUGGGGUAGUGGCUUACCAAGGCUUUGACGGGUAGCCGGCCUGAGAGGGUGACCGGCCACAUUGGGACUGCGAUACGGCCCAGACUGCUACGGGAGGCAGCGGUGGGGAAUAUCGCACAAUGGGCGGAAGCCUGAUGCAGCGACGCCGCGUGCGGGAUGACGGCCUUCGGGUUGUAAACCGCUUUCGCCUGUGACGAAGCGUGAGUGACGGUAAUGGGUAAAGAAGCACCGGCUAACUACGUG